RNAcentral lists this ribosomal RNA (500 nucleotides) under uncultured bacterium. RNAcentral's name for it is "partial 16S ribosomal RNA". It matches the Rfam family "Bacterial small subunit ribosomal RNA", at positions 29 to 523 of the family's 1533-position model. The record is from RNAcentral.
AUUGAACGCUGGCGGAAUGCUUUACACAUGCAAGUCGAACGGCAGCACGGACUUCGGUCUGGUGGCGAGUGGCGAACGGGUGAGUAAUACAUCGGAACGUGCCCAGUCGUGGGGGAUAACGUAGCGAAAGCUACGCUAAUACCGCAUACGAUCUAAGGAUGAAAGCGGGGGAUCGCAAGACCUCGCGCGAUUGGAGCGGCCGAUGGCAGAUUGGGUAGUUGGUGGGGUAAAGGCUCACCAAGCCGACGAUCUGUAGCUGGUCUGAGAGGACGACCAGCCACACUGGGACUGAGACACGGCCCAGACUCCUACGGGAGGCAGCAGUGGGGAAUUUUGGACAAUGGGCGCAAGCCUGAUCCAGCCAUUCCGCGUGCAGGAUGAAGGCCCUCGGGUUGUAAACUGCUGUUGUACGGAACGAACAGGCUCUGGUUAAUACCCGGGGCUCAUGACGGUACCGUAAGAAUAAGCACCGGCUAACUACGUGCCAGCCGCCGCGGUAA